Molecule: ribosomal RNA, 200 nt
Filed under: uncultured bacterium
Lineage: Bacteria
Description: partial 16S ribosomal RNA
Rfam family: Bacterial small subunit ribosomal RNA
Source: RNAcentral
ACGCUCGACACCUACGGGAGGCAGCAGUCGGGAAUAUUGCGCAAUGGAGGAAACUCUGACGCAGUGACGCCGCGUGCAGGAAGAAGGUUUUCGGAUUGUAAACUGCUUUAGACAGGGAAGAACAAAUGACAGUACCUGUAGAAUAAGCUCCGGCUAACUACGUGCUAGCAGCCGCGGUAAUCUGAGCGGGCUGGCAAGGC